UAUCAGUUAUAGUUUAUUUGAUGGUUUCUUUCUACAAGGAUAACUAUGGAAAAUCUAGAGCUAAUACUUGCUUGAAAUCCCAACUCACGAAGGGAGGCAAUUAUUAGAUUAAACACCAACCAUGCUUGCAUGACUCGGUGAUUCAUAGUAAUUUUGCGGAUCGAUCGCUUCGGCGUCGACGCUUCAUUCAAGUUUCUGCCCUAUCAGUUUUCGAUGGUAGUGUAUUGGACUAUCAUGACUAUAACGGGUAACGGAGAAUUAGGGUUCGAUUCCGGAGAGGGAGCCUGAGAAACGGCUACCACAUCCAAGGAAGGCAGCAGGCGCGUAAAUUACCCAAUCCUGACACAGGGAGGUAGUGACAAGAAAUAACAACAGUGGCGCCCUAGUGCACUACUGAUUGGAAUGAGAACAACACAAAAACCUUAACGAGAAACAAUUGGAGGGCAAGUCUGGUGCCAGCAGCCGCGGUAAUUCCAGCUCCAAUAGCGUAUACUAAUGUUGUUGCAGUUAAAAAGCUCGUAGUCGGAUUUCAUGUAGAGAAGUAUAUUUGGCCCUUCGGGUUACAAAGAAACCAUCUCUGCAUUCUUUUGCUGUUACUGCGUUCUCUCACUUCAUUGUGCGAAACGUAUGCUCGGCAUCUUUUACUUUGAGAAAAUUAGAGUGUUCAAAGCAGACAUUUUUGUCUUGAAUAUUACUCAUGGAAUAAUAAUAUAUGACUUCGGUCUUCCUUUGUUGGUGUUUGUAGGCUGGAGUAAUGAUUGAUAGGGACAGUUGGGGUCAUUAGUACUCCUUAGCGAGAGGUGAAAUUCUUAGACCUUAGGAAGACUAACUACUGCGAAAGCAUUUGACAAGGAUGUUCCCGUUGAUCAAGAACGAAAGUUGAGGGAUCGAAGACGAUCAGAUACCGUCGUAGUCUCAACCAUAAACUAUGCCAGCUAGGGAUUGGGAGAGGCCUAAAUUUUCAAAGACUCUCUCAGCACCUUAUGAGAAAUCAAAGCAUUUGGGUUCCGGGGGGAGUAUGGUCGCAAGGCUGAAACUUAAAGGAAUUGACGGGAGGGCACCACCAGGAGUGGAGCCUGUGGCUUAAUUUGAUUCAACACGGGAAAA
This 1107-nucleotide ribosomal RNA is filed under the name uncultured Polycystinea. Its description in RNAcentral is "bacterial SSU rRNA". It matches the Rfam family "Eukaryotic small subunit ribosomal RNA", at positions 104 to 1213 of the family's 1831-position model. The record is from RNAcentral. Lineage: Eukaryota; Polycystinea.